UACAGAGGUCCCGAGCGUUGUUCGGAAUCAUUGGGCGUAAAGAGCGUGUAGGCGGCUUGUUAAGUCUUGCGUGAAAUCUCGGGGCUCAACCCCGAGCGGUCGUGAGAAACUGGCAGGCUAGAGUGCGGGAGAGGAGAGUGGAAUUCCUGGUGUAGCGGUGAAAUGCGCAGAUAUCAGGAAGAACACCCGUGGCGAAGGCGGCUCUCUGGGACGUGACUGACGCGAGACGCGAAAGCGUGGGGAGCGAACAGG
This 252-nucleotide ribosomal RNA is filed under the name uncultured bacterium. Its description in RNAcentral is "partial 16S ribosomal RNA". It matches the Rfam family "Bacterial small subunit ribosomal RNA", at positions 524 to 776 of the family's 1533-position model. The record is from RNAcentral.